This 510-nucleotide ribosomal RNA is filed under the name uncultured bacterium. Its description in RNAcentral is "partial 16S ribosomal RNA". It matches the Rfam family "Bacterial small subunit ribosomal RNA", at positions 28 to 507 of the family's 1533-position model. The record is from RNAcentral.
GACGAACGCUGGCGGCGUGCUUAACACAUGCAAGUCGAACGAAGAGCGAUGGAAGCUUGCUUCUCUCAAUCUUAGUGGCGAACGGGUGAGUCACGCGUAAUCAACCUGCCCUUCAGAGGGGGACAACAGUUGGAAACGACUGCUAAUACCGCAUACGAUCUAAUCUCGGCAUCGAGGAUAGAUGAAAGGUGGCCUCUACAUGUAAGCUAUCACUGAAGGAGGGGAUUGCGUCUGAUUAGCUAGUUGGCGGGGUAACGGCCCACCAAGGCGAUGAUCAGUAGCCGGUCUGAGAGGAUGAACGGCCACAUUGGGACUGAGACACGGCCCAGACUCCUACGGGAGGCAGCAGUGGGGAAUCUUCCGCAAUGGACGAAAGUCUGACGGAGCAACGCCGCGGGAGUGAUGACGGCCUUCGGGUUGUAAAGCUCUGUUAAUCGGGACGAAAGGCCUUCUUGCGAAUAGUGAGAAGGAUUGACGGUACCGGAAUAGAAAGCCACGGCUAACUACGUG